AUGUCUCUACAGCGAUGGCGUUUCAAUGCUGUUUCUUAUGAGAAGGGCAGCUGUCCAGCUUUUCAUCCCAGCCUGACUGAAGGAUGGAACUUCCUGGUUUUUUAUCCCUCCCUGUUUGAGGAGGAGAGCAAGCAGGAGAUGACACUGGCAUGGUUGGCCAUCAUGAAGAUUGUGGAAUACAUCUGGGGCAACUGGUGCUGCAAAUGCAGAAGACCGGGGGCAGAGAAGGGCCUCCCCUGGAGGUGCAUUGUGAGAAGAUGGCCUGUGAGCAAGGAUGGGAGGGUCAGGACCAGGAAGGUUGAACUUGGGCAAUGGUCCAGAAAAGGAGUGAUAAGAGCCUGAUAAGAGCUGAAGAGGGGGAGAACAGAAAGGACCUAGAGACUGAGGAGGCAGAUGAGACCAGACUCUAGGUGAUUGACUGUGGGGGUGGGAGCGUGGGGGUGGAGCCAAGUCCUCAAAUUCACUGUUGGAUCAUCACCUGCUGUGGGUCAGUGUGGAUCUGAGUACUGGAGGCCACCCAGAAUCAUAGCCAGUGCAUCACAAACAUCCCUGAGUGAUGGAACAAGAAUGUUUACAUCCAGAAAUUCCUUGUUCAGCCUCCCUCCCAGGAAUGCACCAGGACCUAAAUUCUUCUGUACAGAGGAAAGGUACAGGCCUUGGAAUGGCCUCUCCGGCAUUGUUCCUUGGCAAACACAGGAAGAUGGGUUUCCUCUAGCUUUGUGGUGCUGACAUCUGAAUCCGGACCCCUCCCCCAGCCUUUGGGGUAGGGAAAGGGAGGCAGAGGACCAGGCAGGCAAUGGAAAAUAAACACCCGUCCCCUGCUCUUCUGGCUUGUUUCAUGUUCUUAGAAUUUCCUCUCUUCGAUUCCGGCUUUGUUAUUUUAAAAUGCUAUGCAUUGGUUAGGGCUGGGAAACUCCCUUGUUUCUGUGGCAAGGUGGCUCCACAUUGGGAACACAGUCCUGGCACCCCAGGAGAAGGGUCCCAGCCAGCAGGCCUGCAGCCCAGUGUCAGAGUGAGCUCCUGACUCAGCCUGUGUGAGGGAGACUCUUGGGGCCGGGUGUGUGUCCUUCUGCAUGAGCAUAUGCUUGUUUCACAGCAGGAACCUGGCGGUGUUUUGGUUCCAGCUAUCUGGGCCAGGGCCAGGCUGGAGUAGUCAUGGCUCUGAUGGGAUGUGGUGGGGCCUCAGGGGGCUCCAGAUGGGCCUGGGCUGAACGUGUAGGGAGAGGACACCCCUUGGCCACCAGAGAGCUGUCCCGUGCCCACAUGACCUGGGCUGCCUCCUCUCCUGGGCUCUGUGUGGUGGACACGUGAGCGGUGUGCUGGCCUUUCCAGCGAGGCUUCCCCCUCUCACCCUUCUCUCCUGAUCCCCAUCCCUGCAAGAACUGCUCAUUGUAGUGUUUCCUUUAAUCACCAAUUCUUUCUUUUUUCCUUCCUUUCUUUCUUUCUUUCUUUCUUUCUUUCUUUCUUUCUUUCUUUCUUUCUUUCUUUCUUUCUUUCUUUAACAACUAUUUAUUGAAUGCUAUCAGGUGUCUAGCACUGUGCUGGGGGCUGUAAAUACAGAGACAAAUGAACUAGAAAGAUUGGGAAUCUUAGGGGAAAAUGCCAUAAUCAAGAUGAAUAGUAUUUUACUGUGUUUUUUUUUGUUUGUUUUUUGUUUUUUGUCUUUUGUCUUUUGUCUUUUUAGGGCUGCACCCAUGGUACAUGUAGGUUCCCAGGCUAGGGUCUAAUUGGAGCUGGAGCUGUUGGCCUACACCACUGCCACAGCAACUCAAGAUCCAAGCCAUGUCUGCAACCUACACCACAGCUCAUGGCAAUGCCAGAUCCUUAACCCAUGGAGCAAGGCCAGGGAUUGAACCUGCGUCUUCAUGGAUGCUAGUCAGGUUUGUUAACCACAGAGCUACGAUGGGAACUCCCAUGAAAUAUUAAAAAAAAAAAAAAAAAAAAAUCAGGAGUUCCCACUGUGGCACAACAGGAUCAGCGGCAGCUCUGAAGCUCCAGGAUGCAGGUUCGAUCCCCAGCAAGCACUGCGUGUUAAGGAUCUGACAUUGCUGCAGCUGGGGUGUAGCUCACAACUGCAGCUCAGUUCUGAUCCCUGGCCUGGGGAGCUCCAUAUGCUGUGGAGUAGCCCACAAAAGAAAAAAAAUAAAAUUAAAAUAAAAAAAAUCAAUCCAUGGUGAACAAAAUAGUAGAAUUUUAUUUUUAUUUUUUUCUUUUUGUGGCUGUACCUGGGGCAUAUGGAAGGUACCAGACUAGGGGUCUAAUCAGAGUUUCAGUUGCCAGCCUACACCACAGCCACAGCAACACAGGACCUGAGCUACAGCCAUGACCUACACCACAGUUUGCGGCAAUGGCGGAUCUUUUAACCCACUGAGCAAAGCCAGGAUUGAAUCCAAAUCCUCAUGAAUAAUAGUCAGGUUCUUAACCUGCUGAGCCACAACAGGAACUCCAAAAGCAGAAUUUUAAAAAAAGAUUUGUAGCAGAGUACAGCUCUACGCUGGGCCAUACUGUAGUCUGAGUGAAAAGAAAAUCAGUAAGACUGAUCAGGGGUUCAGAAUUGAAUACAGCAUGGACAGAAUAUCAUACAAGCAUUAAAAUAUCUCAGGAAAGUUUCCUUCUUGACAUACAAAGAAACUCUUGGUAUACUGUUCAGUGAAAAAUAGGAGUUUGUAGAAUAAAGUAUGGUCCUAUUAAAAAUAUAUCCUGAUACUGGAAACUAUAAGAGGCUAUGCCAAGACGUUAAAUGCCUUCUCUCUUUUAUCCCCUCUCUUUUAUGGCCCUUUCUUUGUUUGUUUGUGUGUUUUUUUUUGGUUAUUUUAAGAGUGAACAUGUAAGAGUUGUUUAAUUUUCUCAAAGAUAUUUUUAAAAUGCAAGAGAAUUGUGGUAGAGCAUGCUGGGCUAUAUAUUGUAGCCAAUUGUGGGCUUUCUGACCUAUAAGAGACGGAGAAUUCCCCAAAUCAACCCCCUUCUCAAUGCCUGCAAGAGGGGCAGAGCCAGGAUGACCAUGCCCACUUUAUCUACAGGGGAAACUAAGGUUCUGGGAGCUAAAGACACCCAGAGAAGAGGACCCAUUGGAACCGGCCUUUGCAUGCAGCUCUGCCUACUGGGAUCUGCAUCACCCACACCCUGUAUGCCAGGUCUCUUGCUUCCCAGCUUCUUCCAAACUAAAACCCCUGAGUCUCUCUUCUUCUCAGGCAGCAGUUCCCCGUUGACUUACCUCUUCUGUUGGUGCUUUCUCAACUGAAAGCAUAACUGUAGGAAGAAAACCUGCAAGAAACAUCUGAGGGGUUGUGGCUGGUCCCUCUCUGGCCUGGUAAGGGAGUGAGAAAGUAUUUUCAGUGUUAUGUUUUCACUCUGGCACAGACACACCCCAAAGAUUGGCAUGAAUUAUACUUAAUUUUCUAAAGCCCCCAUCUGCCAGGAAAUGCCUAGUGGUAUUUCCCAGAGUUCAGAAGCCAUCAGCCCUUCGUGCCAGUAGGCUUGACUAUCUCUUGCCCAGCAGCAAACCUCGGGCCCAUCCUCUGGGGAGGUCCCUGAGGGGAGAGGAGCCUGAGGCAGCAGUGCCAC
This 3564-nucleotide long non-coding RNA is filed under the name Sus scrofa (pig). RNAcentral describes it as "lncRNA (ENSSSCG00060000062.1)". Lineage: Eukaryota; Metazoa; Chordata; Mammalia; Artiodactyla; Suidae. The record is from RNAcentral.